This is a long non-coding RNA of Phyllostomus hastatus (greater spear-nosed bat), 516 nucleotides long. RefSeq lists it as uncharacterized. The record is from RefSeq and is a predicted model, not a curated record. The transcript has 4 exons. Lineage: Eukaryota; Metazoa; Chordata; Mammalia; Chiroptera; Phyllostomidae.
GAAAAGAGAGCUGUGCCACUUUCUCAUCUCAGAAAACCCUUAUGGGUCAUGACAAGCUAUUUGCAAUUACAUUCAUUCAAAUUCUAAUUCUGCCCAAAUACAGUUGACAGGCUGCAGACAGGAAGGAGAUAAGAAGAAAGCUGGGUAGGAGGAGUCGAUCCCCGUGGUUCGAGAGCUGUGCUGGUGAUGCAGGCAAGAAUCGAAGCCAAAGUCACAGCUUUCUACCAAGAUUGUGGUUUAAGCACUGGGCCACAGGAGUGAAAGAGACAGACUUCCUACUUUGUGAGAGCUCACUGCCUCCUGCCUCAGCAUACACCUAUGACAUCAACAGCUAAAGACAGUGGCUGCCAACCAGAGUCUUGAAGCAUCAUUGGGGAGACCAGCCCUUGAGAAUAUUCAGUCAGAGGAAUUCACAGCAGAAGAGACCAUCUACUAAUUUCCAUUGAGCCAAGUCCCAAUUAUAACGUGGCCACACAGAUCACCCCUUACGUGUCUCAGCAAUGUCUCAUUUAAAGG